UGUAUUGUUGAAUUGAUUCAGUCUCAUUUUACAAUGCUGUCAUUAAUGUUUGUGUUUUAAUAGUUUUUAUUUCUCUUGUUGGCAAUGCUGUCUUACUGUUAUUAUCUUAUAGAAUACUGUCUUCCAACAGUGCUUUUACUCUCAGAUGUCAAAAAUUUUUAGUACAAAGCAUCUAUCUUAAACUUUAAAAUUUACUACUAUUUCAG
This 206-nucleotide unclassified non-coding RNA is filed under the name Hevea brasiliensis (rubber tree). Lineage: Eukaryota; Viridiplantae; Streptophyta; Magnoliopsida; Malpighiales; Euphorbiaceae. The record is from RNAcentral.